RNAcentral lists this non-coding RNA (30 nucleotides) under Rattus norvegicus (Norway rat). The record is from RNAcentral. Lineage: Eukaryota; Metazoa; Chordata; Mammalia; Rodentia; Muridae.
UGCAACUCACUCAAUUUAGUAACAGUUUCC